AGUCACCCCCUCUGGCACCGCCUGCUGCACACCAGGAACCCCCACCUCCAGCAAGCCCAUCUGCCAGACGCCUGGCCCAGGACCGCCCCCUGCCCCUCGACUGCCCCCUGCCCCUCCUGGUCCUGACUUCAGCCAGGUGACCCCCUCCAGGGUCCAGCCCUGGCCCCUGGGGGACUCAGUGGCAUCUGGUGGAAAGGACCUUGGGGAUUGCGCCCACCCUCACCUGCAGGAGAGUUGGCAGGGUGGCCAGCCACAGGAAUCUGUGGCAGGAGCCCGGGGACCUGCACCCCAACUAGAAAGUGUGCAGCCCUGCAGGCCGGCCCUGGAGAGGGAGCAGGCAGGGGUGAAGUUAGGCCGGCUGUGGUGUGCGACACCGUCCUGUGGGGCCAAGCGUCCCGAGCUCCAGAGGCAGGUGCACUCCUGGCCAGCAUCCAGGGUGGACGAGCCCAGACCCCAAUACUCUGAGGCAGGGUGGGGGACCAGGUGGCACCCAGUGGAGGAAAAGCCCCCAAGAGACACGCAGGAGCAUGGACUCCCACCCCACAGCUGGAGCCUGGGAGAGGAGCCCCAUCUGCUGUUUCCCUGGUGCACUCACAUCCUGGCCCUCAGCGCCCCCUGCCAGGAAUGUCCCCCACAUGCAGAGCCAUGUGGGUCUUGCAAGGAAGAAGAAGGGGGCCCCUUGCAUCCUCCACUCCCGGGGGCCCCAGGAGGGCAUGGGGGCUCCAGGGUGCAGGGACAGCACGUUCCCUCACCAACUCCCCAAGAACGCCCAACCUCCAAGAGCAGACACAGCGCCUACACCUGCCGGUACGGGGCUCCAACCCCACUCUCUCAGAUACGUCCUCCAGAGUCGUCUCAUCCACCCCACCCUGGGGAGGAGGGAAACUGAGGCAUGGCAAGAGACAAGACUAACACAGGCAUCAGUGAGACUCAGCCCCUCCUGCCCCUUCCUCCAUGCCCCUCCUACCCCGACUUCAGCUCCCACACCAAGGCCCCAAGCCUGACAUAGGGCCCCAGGUGCCAGGCCUCAAGGGGGCUGAAGGGAGCCCAUCUGCCCCACCGAGGGCACAGACAGUGCCAGGUCUUUGCUGAAAUGUCACCUCUUCCUUGAGGCCUUCUCUGAUUGCUGAGUAAGCCCUGUCCCCGCUCCCUGCUCCCCGUAUCCGCCCGCCUCGGCCCUCCGUCCCUUUUCUCCCUUCUCUGUGGCCUGCCCGCUCUCACAGAAUGCAGACUCCAGGGGUCCAGGGUGUUACCUCCCGGGCAGCAGGAGGAAAUGUCCUGGGCUCCCCACCCAGCGCUCAGCGCCCCCCGCUAAGUACAGCACUCACUCCUUCAUCCAUUCAGCGUGGGCUCUCCCGGCACCAGCACCGCCAGGCCCUGUGCAGGACCCCAGGGUCAUCAGGAAGGAAAUGAGGCAGCCCAAGGAGGCGGGAGACGGGGCCCUACCCAGCACCCAGCCAUCUGCAUUGACACGGCUGCCCGCAGGAUAUCACUGCCCCCAUCCCGGGGCCCACCAUUACCAGCAGGGAGAGGGAGGCAGGAAAGAAAGCACGCAGCCAAAGAGCGCAAAGAGGCUCAGAGGAGGCCCGGGUGCCCUGGAGAGACGCUGCGUCCUGACGACACAGCAUCCCUGUCCCGCAGCGGAGAUUUCCCAGAUGAAGGAUUCCCCGGCGGGAGACAGGGCCCUGCACACAGGUCCUCUGCCACGCUGCUCACCAUGCCUGUGUGUUAUCUCCCCAUGAAAAGUCACCUAGGCCGAGCAUGGUGGCUCACGCCUGUAAUCCCAGCACUUUGGGAGGUGGAGGCGUGCGGAUCAUCUGAGAUCAGGAGUUUGAGACCAUCCUGAGUAACAUGGUGAAACCCCGUCUCUAGGAAGAAUACAAAAAUUAACUGGG
This 1895-nucleotide long non-coding RNA is filed under the name Homo sapiens (human). RNAcentral's name for it is "HSALNT0289783". The record is from RNAcentral. Lineage: Eukaryota; Metazoa; Chordata; Mammalia; Primates; Hominidae.